This is a long non-coding RNA of Neofelis nebulosa (Clouded leopard), 1295 nucleotides long. RefSeq lists it as uncharacterized. Lineage: Eukaryota; Metazoa; Chordata; Mammalia; Carnivora; Felidae. The record is from RefSeq and is a predicted model, not a curated record. The transcript has 2 exons.
AGAUGAGGAAACUGCGGCAUUGAGAGGCUUCACAACUUAUCAAGAUCACAUGGCCAGUAUGUGAAGUAUUUGAAUCCUGGCUCCAGGCAUGCUAGCUCCAGAUGAAGAUUUUAGGCUGUGGUUCAAGGAAUCCGUCAUACUUCAGUAAUUCUGCACUCCUCAAGCCCUUGUGGGACAGCCUUGUGUGUUCAGGAUGAGCUUCUAGAACAACAGGCUUCCACGUCUUCGACAGCAGAGUAAAGAUUUUCCAUCAGCGUACACAUAAAAACAGAGUGGCCUGUCCAAAAUGCUUUGAGCAAAAUAAAAAGCAUGUUGCCCAAGCACCCCAUCAACUUUUCUUGUUCACUCUCUAAUUCCAGCUACUUUGCUUCACUUGUAGUGUGACAGUGCAUAACAGUGGGACAUAGCAUAUACCGAAGCCUCACAAAACUGUGUACCCCCUGCUCACUUCCUCUGGAAUUCACGACAAGAGUAUUUUUAUUCUUUCUCUUUAGUCUUUUGAUGUGUUUUACUGAUUUUUCUCUCUCUGCCUUCCUCUUAGAGGUUAGUGUUCCCCAAGGAUUUUUCCUGUUUUCUCUUUCCUCACAUUCCUACUAAGAAUUUCAUCUGUGCCCAUUUCAGCCACCAGCUGCUAUCUGCUUAUGAUUCCCAGACUCCACCAAAUAUUCCCUGGAUGCUCUGUAGGCACCUCAAAUUUUAUGUGUUCCAAAUCUCAUCCUAUUUUCUCACUCAUCUCUUCGGAAAGUUACUAUCUCAGUGAAGAGCACAGCACUUAUCCUUUCAGCCAGGCCUGAGAGAUGAGAGUUAGGGCAGGCUCUCGUUGAUUUACCUCCUGAGAGCCAGAGGCACGAUGCUGUUCAGGUGCUGGAGCCCAGGUUCUUCAUGGAUGCUGCCACAUACCAUGGAGCACAGAGUUGAUAGGUCUAAGUCAAUGAGUAACAAAAUGUGAGAAACAACCCCCUGGGAAAGAGUUUUACUCCCCAGUAAAAAGAGACAUGCUGGAAGAACUUAUUCUGGUCUGGGUUGUGGUGACACAAGGAUCUGAUAACUGAUGCUUCGGCAGCCACCAUGAAGAUACAGCAUGGGGUGAAUGUCAAACCUUUGCCAUAUAAAGCACAAAAUGGAAAGCUGCUGGAUUCUUGAUUAUGUUGGAAAGCCAUUGAAUUAAUUAUCCCUAGAGCUGCUUAUCUGGACUUCAAUGUUGUUAGUUAAUAAACUCUUUAGUAUUUAAAUCACUUUUAUUUGGGUAUGGAGAGUAUCCUAUCUUCUCCCAUAUUAAAUCCAUUAAUAAGACC